This 404-nucleotide ribosomal RNA is filed under the name uncultured bacterium. Its description in RNAcentral is "bacterial SSU rRNA". It matches the Rfam family "Bacterial small subunit ribosomal RNA", at positions 917 to 1322 of the family's 1533-position model. The record is from RNAcentral.
GGGCCCGCACAAGCGGUGGAGUAUGUGGUUUAAUUCGAUGCAACGCGAAGAACCUUACCAGGGUUUGACAUCCUGCGAAUCUCUUGGAAACUUGAGAGUGCCUUCGGGAGCGCAGUGACAGGUGGUGCAUGGCUGUCGUCAGCUCGUGUCGUGAGAUGUUGGGUUAAGUCCCGCAACGAGCGCAACCCACGUCUUUAGUUGCCAGCAUUUAGUUGGGCACUCUAGAGAGACCGCCGGUGAUAAACCGGAGGAAGGUGUGGAUGACGUCAAGUCAUCAUGCCCCUUAUGUCUUGGGCUUCACGCAUGCUACAAUGGCCGGUACAGAGGGCUGCAAUACCGCAAGGUGGAGCGAAUCCCAAAAAGCCGGUCUCAGUUCGGAUUGAGGUCUGGAACUCGACUCCAUG